UAUAUAGCCCGCUCCUGCCCACACGGCCGCGAGCUCGGAUGACAGCGAAUGCCAUUUAAAGCGUGCGCGCUCCGCGCCCUUCCGCCUGACGUCGCCCCGCCGCUCUGGGAAAGUAACGGCCCUUUCCCCAGCGCCGCCCGCCCCCAGCCAACCCGGCUCCGGAAGGCAGGCCCCGCCCGCGGGGUUCCGGGAGCAUCCGAGGCCCCGGGAGCACGCGGCCGGGCGGGCUGGCCGGAGGGCAGGCGGGAGCCCUCGGAUCGCCGCCCCCUCCCCCGGCUGCCACCGGGCGUCCCGGGAUCCCCAAGUUCGUACCGACAGUGGUGGCCGCGGCGGCGCAGAGAGAAGAACUUUCCCAAGGUCAUGCAGCUAGUCAGCAGCAGAGCUGAGAUUCAAACCCAGGUGGACUUAGCUCCUAAGCCCUCACUCUUAUCUUACCCUGAAGCCCUUUGCCCUAUGGCGUACGAAGAAGGAACCAGAGUGUGACCAAGUGAGAAGAGGGCGUUUCAGGCAAAGGGAACCCUAGUGCAAAGGUCUCUAUUAUAUCAACUCAGCGUUGUCCUAACCAAGACAGCCAUUAGACAGCCAAGUGAAGAGCUCAAGCAGGACAUUGGGAGAACUCAGGGAAGAGUGUGGUCUGCCUUCCCCACUGGACUAGACUGCCAGUCUCUGCCUUUCCCCAGCGGCCAGGCCAGUGCUCUGGGUUCCUCCUGAGUGACCACCACUCUGCUCCUCCUCCCCGUGACCUCUGCUCCUGUGGCUCCUGGCAAUGAACAAGGGGGGCGGGGACAACAUCAUCUCCACCAGGGCUUCUUCCCAGCACACACACGGCUCUUCCAGACCCCAAAUGCCCAGGCCAGGGACUGGGGUACCCUGGGUCACCCCUCUCAGCUGCUCUGGAUACAAGGCUCCCCCAACCCCAGCUCCAGGGUGGUAAAAGUAGGAAAGGAGGUCUGUGCUUCACAGCAAUGGUCCCAGGUUAUCAAGGACAUCAGCCCUCUUUGCUUCCACUCUGCCCAGAAGGAUGGCUUUGGGCCCUACUCACAGCGGGCUUCCAGGAAGAGAAGGGAGGGUAGAGAGAGGUCCUCCCCCCAAGGACGGAAUCUGAGCUCCCACAUGACCUAGAUUCCUCCCUUCUUAUCACUGACCCCCACCUCCCCCAUCCACGGCUCUCUACCUCUCAGGAUGUCUCCAGGACCAACCCUAGUCCUCGCUGGCUUUUUCAGAUGUUCUGUGUCCUCCAGAGCCUCAGGAGUCGGCUGUCAGGUCAGGAGAACACAGAGCUAGAUUAAACCCCACUCCAUCCUGA
Long non-coding RNA from Suricata suricatta (meerkat), 1306 nucleotides. RefSeq lists it as uncharacterized. The record is from RefSeq and is a predicted model, not a curated record. The transcript is spliced from 4 exons. NCBI's taxonomy places the organism in Eukaryota, Metazoa, Chordata, Mammalia, Carnivora, Herpestidae.